UGGGCCUUGCAGCCAGCUCGGGGUCCAAGGGGCACUCCUGCGGUGCUGCAAAGGAGGAUUUGUGACAACCCAGAGGAUGGAGGAAACGGCGGCUUUGAAAAGGUUUGUGAGCAGCCCCCGGUCCCCUGCCGCUCCGUGAGAAAUCAAACUUCAGGCACUGACGAAGCAUGAAGCCAGCAUCUUAGGAAGAGGUAGUGACAUAAUUACAAGGGCGACCGGAUUACAAUCACAGCCAGCAUGAACAUGGGGCGGCGCACAGUCCUGAAGAGGAAAGCCGGGCUGUGUUGACCUCGCUGUGCAUGCUGGGAGUUGUAGUCUCUUCACUGCUCCCGCCCGUUGUUUCAGGCACUUCGGGACUACAAUCCCAGCAUGACCCGGGCUCGGGGACGGGGCGCAGUUCUCGUGGGAGGAGCGGGGCGGUGAGAGCCUGGCUAGGCAGGCUGGAAACAGUAGCUCUUAACGGUCCCCCGCCCGUUGGUGGCAAGGCGGCUGGACUGGAAUCCCAGCAGGCGACAUGCGAGGAGGCGGGCAGCCCAGGAGGGUUGGACACGGCAAUGUGGACCUCGCCGCUUCCACAACGAUGCUGGCUACUGAUCGCGUGCACUUCCUUGCCAAAGAAAAUUUGUGCUGUGCACUAACAUGCAAUACAAAUACUGAUGAAAAUAAAACUAUUGCCCUCCUACCAAAUGAGAAAUUAAUGUUAUGACUGGAUGAAGACAAUUGUGAAGAAACUGCACUUUGAGGUUGUCUAUCUCUGUAUUCUGAUGGAAAAGCGUGGAGUUUAGAAGCACUGCUCACUCCUUCAGUUUCUAACAAGUUUGAGACUAUGGUUAGGUGGUGAGGAAGGCAGGCUCAGCACCCAAGCCUUGGGGAGACGCAGAAAGGGCCCAUCCCAGGCACUCAGGUGGAGUAAAACUGAUGCUCCAGAAAGAUGCCCAGGGAGAUUCUGUCCUGCUGCGUCCGCACUGUACAGAACUGACGCUGUGCCUACGCCCGUUUCAGAAGCGUGGAGUACUUAAGAGUUAAUCUAAAAAAGCAAAUAUAAAAAUGGAUUCAAAAAAA
Homo sapiens (human) is the source of this 1062-nucleotide long non-coding RNA. RefSeq annotates it as long independently transcribed non-coding RNA 2848. The transcript is spliced from 7 exons. NCBI's taxonomy places the organism in Eukaryota, Metazoa, Chordata, Mammalia, Primates, Hominidae. The record is from RefSeq and is marked validated.